AAUAUUUCAUCCACAAACUGACUUUGUGCAAGGGAGAGAACAGAAGGCUGCUCAGGGGGGCAGAGCCACUUUGAUUGUAGCUUCAGCACAGUGGAACAACUUCAUCUGCAGCGGUUAAGCAGAACCCCUUCACUUCAGGGGCAGCCUUACUGAACGAAUGCACCGUGGGUCUGACAGAGGACUAGAAAGACAAUAUUUCCCAGUCAGCAAAACUCUCCCCCUGUAUCCUUUCCAAAGGGACAGUCAUGCGUUAGUUAAGCAACACCACUAGAUGAGAUCUGGUACACUUUUUCCUAGCUUGCCUGGAGGCAAAGCUGUGGACUGAAUAAAUGAAUGUUUGCAACCCAGCAAAAUGGAACUAUUUCUCUCAGAGAACUGCAGAUAAGCAUGACAAUAACUGUGAAGAGAUAACUGAAGAGCAAAGGGCAGAUCUUCUCAUCACUUACAGUCCUUGAGAAACAUCAGUCUCACUUAGAUGAGCUGUUUAGACAAGUGCUAUAGGAGGUUGGGGAAUAAAACAAAGCAGAAAAUAUUUUACCCUUAACAAAAGGAGGCAGGCAAUUUAGUGCUGUAAUAACAAAAGAAGUGUUUUGCUGUUAAGGAAAACAAUUAUUUUUAAUUUGGCUGCACAUUUUAAGUUAGAUACCCCAUCUACAAUAUGUUCUGUAUGAGGUCUAAUUAUUGAU
Long non-coding RNA from Gekko japonicus, 686 nucleotides. RefSeq lists it as uncharacterized. NCBI's taxonomy places the organism in Eukaryota, Metazoa, Chordata, Lepidosauria, Squamata, Gekkonidae. The transcript is spliced from 3 exons. The record is from RefSeq and is a predicted model, not a curated record.